CCAGAGCCGCUGAGCUCCGUGCCUUCCGGACCCCACGCCGCUGGGCUGUGGUCUUUCUCCAGGGGGGGACUGCCACGGGCACAGGCCCAGCUGCAGCCUUGUGGAGGGGUCUGGACUCCAGAGAGGGCUCAGGCCCCACCCCUGCCGGGCCCUCCGUGGGCCCCACCCUGCCGGGCCCUCCGUGGGUGCCCCCACCCUGCCCGGCCCUCCGUGGGUGCCCCCACCCUGCCCGGCCCUCCGUGGGUGCCUCCCAGGCCACGUCCUUUCCUUCAGGUAUCCGUGGUAGCUAGGAAAUUAAACUCGACCCCUGCCACGUGCUCUCCCCUGCGCGCCAUGACGGAGCUUCUACAGUGAGGAGCGCGUUCCUUCUUGAGAGUGCACCUGCCCUCCAGCCGGAGCCCGCGCCCCAUCGCCGCGCCUGUGUCUGGCCUGGGGUCCACCUCCUGUAGAAGCUUCCUGAGUCGGCUUCGUGGCUGGCCCCGGCCUCGGGCGGGGGAGGGGGGCCUCUACCCAGCCUGGAGCGGCCUCUCUUCUUUGCACCUCCCUUUCUUGGAUACACAUUUUCAAAAGUGAUCAAUUCUUACUGAUGGCUUAUAACGCGACCGUAUUUUAUAUUACUAGCCUUUAAUAAAGCUGUUUAAAAAUUUUGAA
This is a long non-coding RNA of Perognathus longimembris pacificus (Pacific pocket mouse), 651 nucleotides long. RefSeq lists it as uncharacterized. The transcript has 2 exons. The record is from RefSeq and is a predicted model, not a curated record. NCBI's taxonomy places the organism in Eukaryota, Metazoa, Chordata, Mammalia, Rodentia, Heteromyidae.